This 102-nucleotide non-coding RNA is filed under the name Brachybacterium paraconglomeratum LC44. RNAcentral's name for it is "DUF3800-IV RNA". It matches the Rfam family "DUF3800-IV RNA". Lineage: Bacteria; Bacillati; Actinomycetota; Actinomycetes; Micrococcales; Dermabacteraceae. The record is from Rfam by way of RNAcentral.
CGGCCCCUCGAGGAGGGUUGCCGGGAUUGGCCGGAACCAGGUGACUGGAUCCUUUCACCCGCUGAGGUGACUGUGGCCCCCGGAGCCCCCCUCGAGGGGCCG